ACGGCGAGUGAACCGGGAAAAGCUCAAAUUUGAAAUCUGGCUGUCUUCGAUAGUCCGAGUUGUAAUCUAUAGAAGCGUUUUCCGUGCUGAACUGUGUAUAAGUGUCUUGGAACAGACUAUCAAAGAGGGUGACAAUCCCGUACUUUACACAAUCAUCAGUGCUCUGUGAUACGUUCUCUACGAGUCGAGUUGUUUGGGAAUGCAGCUCAAAAUGGGUGGUAAAUUCCAUCUAAAGCUAAAUAUUGGCGAGAGACCGAUAGCGAACAAGUACCGUGAGGGAAAGAUGAAAAGCACUUUGGAAAGAGAGUUAAACAGUACGUGAAAUUGUUAAAAGGGAAACGAUUGAAGUCAGUCGUGUUUAUUGGAUUCAGCCGGUCUUCGGUGUACUUCCUUUAAACGGGUCAACAUCAGUUUUGUCCGGUGGAUAAAGGCAGUAGGAAUGUGGCUCCCUCGGGAGUGUUAUAGCCUAUUGUCACAUACACUGGAGGAGACUGAGGACUGCAGCUCGCCUUUUUGGCCGGGGUUCGCCCACGUUCGAGCUUAGGAUGUUGACAUAAUGGCUUUAAACGACCCGUCUUGAACCACGGAACCAAAA
RNAcentral lists this ribosomal RNA (595 nucleotides) under Apiotrichum laibachii. Its description in RNAcentral is "partial large subunit ribosomal RNA". It matches the Rfam family "Eukaryotic large subunit ribosomal RNA", at positions 86 to 664 of the family's 3401-position model. Lineage: Eukaryota; Fungi; Basidiomycota; Tremellomycetes; Trichosporonales; Trichosporonaceae. The record is from RNAcentral. RNAcentral also lists the same sequence under 1 other name.